This 253-nucleotide ribosomal RNA is filed under the name uncultured microorganism. RNAcentral's name for it is "partial 16S ribosomal RNA". It matches the Rfam family "Bacterial small subunit ribosomal RNA", at positions 524 to 776 of the family's 1533-position model. The record is from RNAcentral.
UACGUAGGGUGCGAGCGUUAAUCGGAAUUACUGGGCGUAAAGGGUGCGCAGGCGGCCCUGUAAGACCGGUGUGAAAUCCCCGGGCUCAACCUGGGAAUUGCGCUUGUGACUGGCGGGCUCGAGUACGGUAGAGGGGGGUGGAAUUCCUGGUGUAGCAGUGAAAUGCGUAGAGAUCAGGAGGAACACCGAUGGCGAAGGCAGCCCCCUGGGCCUGUACUGACGCUCAUGCACGAAAGCGUGGGGAGCAAACAGG